CAGAUUAUACCAUAGGGUAAUUAUUAUUUACAUUAAUAAUGUAUUUGUGCAAUUCAAUUUGAUCUGA
This 67-nucleotide transfer RNA is filed under the name Aethus nigritus. RNAcentral describes it as "tRNA-Val". Lineage: Eukaryota; Metazoa; Arthropoda; Insecta; Hemiptera; Cydnidae. The record is from RNAcentral.